RNAcentral lists this transfer RNA (80 nucleotides) under Candidatus Pacearchaeota archaeon. Its description in RNAcentral is "tRNA-Ser". It matches the Rfam family "tRNA". Rfam says of the family: Transfer RNA (tRNA) molecules are approximately 80 nucleotides in length. Their secondary structure includes four short double-helical elements and three loops (D, anti-codon, and T loops). Further hydrogen bonds mediate the characteristic L-shaped molecular structure. tRNAs have two regions of fundamental functional importance: the anti-codon, which is responsible for specific mRNA codon recognition, and the 3' end, to which the tRNAs corresponding amino acid is attached (by aminoacyl-tRNA synthetases). tRNAs cope with the degeneracy of the genetic code in two manners: having more than one tRNA (with a specific anti-codon) for a particular amino acid; and 'wobble' base-pairing, i.e. permitting non-standard base-pairing at the 3rd anti-codon position. The record is from RNAcentral. RNAcentral also lists the same sequence under 1 other name. Lineage: Archaea; Nanobdellati.
GCCCCGAUGGCACAAUGGUACUGCACGCGAUUCGAACUCGCGGUCCUCUGGACAUCCAGGUUCGAUUCCUGGUCGGGGCG